RNAcentral lists this transfer RNA (80 nucleotides) under Amycolatopsis viridis. Its description in RNAcentral is "tRNA-Phe". The record is from RNAcentral. Lineage: Bacteria; Bacillati; Actinomycetota; Actinomycetes; Pseudonocardiales; Pseudonocardiaceae.
GGCCGUGCACCCCGCCUGACCAGCGGAAACAUCUGCGCCUGAAAAGCGGAAGGUCGCCGGUUCGACCCCGGCCCUGGCCA